Daphnia carinata is the source of this 528-nucleotide long non-coding RNA. RefSeq lists it as uncharacterized. The record is from RefSeq and is a predicted model, not a curated record. NCBI's taxonomy places the organism in Eukaryota, Metazoa, Arthropoda, Branchiopoda, Diplostraca, Daphniidae. The transcript has 3 exons.
GCUCAUUCGACCAAGUGUGUUGUCUGCUAUACUCAGGUGAUCAGUCUGUCAUACACACGCCCUGUGUUUUCUUCGUAUGUAAAUACGUCAUCCAUCGCGUUCUGAACUCUACGUUUAACUGCCGAAUAGCUGGAACGUUUCCAUAUCAACAAACGGGCCUUAGGAGAGAAGGUGUGACUUUAAAAUGAGCUAAUCUCCAUGGUCGAAAUGAAGCCGGCGUACGAUGUGUACAUUCCAACGAGGGCCAACGCACCAAUUGUAUUUUAGGUGGGCGAAAUUCUUUCCAGUUUCAAAACAUUGAAACAAAAACAAAAAUGGCAGAACAAAACGAGCAAAGUAAACAAACAGAAACAACCAGAAACCAAAAAAAAAAAAAAAAAAAGGGAGGAGAGGGCGAAACAAAAAAGGGGAACAGGAUCAAAAGUGAAACUAAAUCAACCAACCAGGACCGAAUUUCAUUACUGAGAAAUGAUGACACAGCCAUUAUCGGAAAACGCAAUCAGGGCGGAAAGAAAAACAAAAAAGAAA